AACGAACGCUGGCGGCAUGCCUAACACAUGCAAGUCGAACGAGACCUUCGGGUCUAGUGGCGCACGGGUGCGUAACCCGUGGGAACCUGCCCUUAGGUUUGGAAUAACUCCCCGAAAGGGGUGCUAAUACCGGAUAAUGUCUUCGGACCAAAGAUUUAUCGCCUUUGGAUGGGCCCGCGUUGGAUUAGCUAGUUGGUAGGGUAAAAGCCUACCAAGGCGACGAUCCAUAGCUGGUCUGAGAGGAUGAUCAGCCACACUGGGACUGAGACACGGCCCAGACUCCUACGGGAGGCAGCAGUGGGGAAUAUUGGACAAUGGGCGAAAGCCUGAUCCAGCAAUGCCGCGUGAGUGAUGAAGGCCUUAGGGUUGUAAAGCUCUUUUACCCGGGAUGAUAAUGACAGUACCGGGAGAAUAAGCUCCGGCUAACUCCGUG
This 433-nucleotide ribosomal RNA is filed under the name uncultured bacterium. RNAcentral describes it as "partial 16S ribosomal RNA". It matches the Rfam family "Bacterial small subunit ribosomal RNA", at positions 29 to 507 of the family's 1533-position model. The record is from RNAcentral.